This 484-nucleotide ribosomal RNA is filed under the name uncultured bacterium. RNAcentral describes it as "partial 16S ribosomal RNA". It matches the Rfam family "Bacterial small subunit ribosomal RNA", at positions 30 to 507 of the family's 1533-position model. The record is from RNAcentral.
AUUGAACGCUGGCGGCAGGCCUAACACAUGCAAGUCGAGCGGAUGAAGGGAGCUUGCUCCUGGAUUCAGCGGCGGACGGGUGAGUAAUGCCUAGGAAUCUGCCUGGUAGUGGGGGAUAACGUCCUGAAACGGGCGCUAAUACCGCAUACGUCCUGAGGGCGAACGUGGGGGAUCUUCGGACCUCACGCUCUCAGAUGAGCCUAGGUCGGAUUAGCUAGUUGGUGGGGUAAAGGCCUACCAAGGCGACGAUCCGUAACUGGUCUGAGAGGAUGAUCAGUCACACUGGAACUGAGACACGGUCCAGACUCCUACGGGAGGCAGCAGUGGGGAAUAUUGGACAAUGGGCGAAAGCCUGAUCCAGCCAUGCCGCGUGUGUGAAGAAGGUCUUCGGAUUGUAAAGCACUUUUAGUUGGGAGGAAGAGCAGUAAGUUAAUACCUUGCUGUUUUGACGUUACCAACAGAAUAAGCACCGGCUAACUUCGUG